This 433-nucleotide ribosomal RNA is filed under the name uncultured Corynebacterium sp. RNAcentral describes it as "bacterial SSU rRNA". It matches the Rfam family "Bacterial small subunit ribosomal RNA", at positions 354 to 796 of the family's 1533-position model. The record is from RNAcentral. Lineage: Bacteria; Bacillati; Actinomycetota; Actinomycetes; Mycobacteriales; Corynebacteriaceae.
GUGGGGAAUAUUGCACAAUGGGCGCAAGCCUGAUGCAGCGACGCCGCGUGGGGGAUGACGGCCUUCGGGUUGUAAACUCCUUUCGCUAGGGACGAAGCGUAUUUGUGACGGUACCUGGAGAAGAAGCACCGGCUAACUACGUGCCAGCAGCCGCGGUAAUACGUAGGGUGCGAGCGUUGUCCGGAAUUACUGGGCGUAAAGAGCUCGUAGGUGGUUUGUCGCGUCGUUUGUGUAAGCCCGCAGCUUAACUGCGGGACUGCAGGCGAUACGGGCAUAACUUGAGUGCUGUAGGGGAGACUGGAAUUCCUGGUGUAGCGGUGGAAUGCGCAGAUAUCAGGAGGAACACCGAUGGCGAAGGCAGGUCUCUGGGCAGUAACUGACGCUGAGGAGCGAAAGCAUGGGUAGCGAACAGGAUUAGAAACCCGAGUAGUCC